GGGGGGGGGGGGGGGCGGGGGUAGGGGAUGCGGGGCGGGCGGGGAGGCCCUGCUUGUGUGGGGUGCUCGAGGGGCGAACGGGGGAGUAACACGUGAGUAACCUGCCCUUGACUUUGGGAUAACUUCAGGAAACUGGGGCUAAUACCGGAUAGGAGCUCCUGCUGCCUGGUGGGGGUUGGAAAGUUUCGGCGGUUGGGGAUGGACUCGCGGCUUAUCAGCUUGUUGGUGGGGUAGUGGCUUACCAAGGCUUUGACGGGUAGCCGGCCUGAGAGGGUGACCGGCCACAUUGGGACUGAGAUACGGCCCAGACUCCUACGGGAGGCAGCAGUGGGGAAUAUUGCACAAUGGGCGGAAGCCUGAUGCAGCAACGCCGCGUGCGGGAUGACGGCCUUCGGGUUGUAAACCGCUUUCGCCUGUGACGAAGCGUGAGUGACGGUAAUGGGUAAAGAAGCACCGGCUAACUACGUG
Molecule: ribosomal RNA, 468 nt
Filed under: uncultured bacterium
Lineage: Bacteria
Description: partial 16S ribosomal RNA
Rfam family: Bacterial small subunit ribosomal RNA
Source: RNAcentral